GACGAACGCUGGCGGCGUGCUUAACACAUGCAAGUCGAACGGAAAGGCCCUGCUUUUGUGGGGUGCUCGAGUGGCGAACGGGUGAGUAACACGUGAGUAACCUGCCCUUGACUUUGGGAUAACUUCAGGAAACUGGGGCUAAUACCGGAUAGGAGCUCCUGCUGCAUGGUGGGGGUUGGAAAGUUUCGGCGGUUGGGGAUGGACUCGCGGCUUAUCAGCUUGAUGGUGGGGUAGUGGCUUACCAAGGCUUUGACGGGUAGCCGGCCUGAGAGGGUGACCAGCCACAUUGGGACUGAGAUACGGCCCAGACUCCUACGGGAGGCAGCAGUGGGGAAUAUUGCACAAUGGGCGGAAGCCUGAUGCAGCAACGCCGCGUGCGGGAUGACGGCCUUCGGGUUGUAAACCGCUUUCGCCUGUGACGAAGCGUGAGUGACGGUAAUGGGUAAAGAAGCACCGGCUAACUACGUG
RNAcentral lists this ribosomal RNA (468 nucleotides) under uncultured bacterium. RNAcentral describes it as "partial 16S ribosomal RNA". It matches the Rfam family "Bacterial small subunit ribosomal RNA", at positions 28 to 507 of the family's 1533-position model. The record is from RNAcentral.